This 998-nucleotide ribosomal RNA is filed under the name uncultured beta proteobacterium. RNAcentral's name for it is "bacterial SSU rRNA". It matches the Rfam family "Bacterial small subunit ribosomal RNA", at positions 505 to 1501 of the family's 1533-position model. Lineage: Bacteria; Pseudomonadati; Pseudomonadota; Betaproteobacteria. The record is from RNAcentral.
GUGCCAGCAGCCGCGGUAAUACGUAAGGUGCGAGCGUUAAUCGGAAUUACUGGGCGUAAAGCGUGCGCAGGCGGUUUUGUAAGUCAGAUGUGAAAUCCCCGAGCUCAACUUGGGAACUGCGUUUGAAACUACAAGACUAGAAUAUGUCAGAGGGGGGUAGAACUCCACGUGUAGCAGUGAAAUGCGUAGAGAUGUGGAGGAAUACCAAUGGCGAAGGCAGCCCCCUGGGAUAAUAUUGACGCUCAUGCACGAAAGCGUGGGGAGCAAACAGGAUUAGAUACCCUGAUAGUCCACGCCCUAAACGAUGUCUACUAGUUGUUGGUGGAGUAAAAUCCAUGAGUAACGCAGCUAACGCGUGAAGUAGACCGCCUGGGGAGUACGAUCGCAAGAUUAAAACUCAAAUGAAUUGACGGGGGCCCGCACAAGCGGUGGAUUAUGUGGAUUAAUUCGAUGCAACGCGAAAAACCUUACCUGGCCUUGACAUGUACCGAAUUUACCAGAGAUGGUUUAGUGCUCGAAAGAGAACGGUAACACAGGUGCUGCAUGGCUGUCGUCAGCUCGUGUCGUGAGAUGUUGGGUUAAGUCCCGCAACGAGCGCAACCCUUGCCAAUAAUUGCCAUCAUUUAGUUGGGCACUUUAUUGGGACUGCCGGUGACAAACCGGAGGAAGGUGGGGAUGACGUCAAGUCCUCAUGGCCCUUAUGGCCAGGGCUUCACACGUAAUACAAUGGUCGGUACAGAGGGUCGCCAACCCGCGAGGGGGAGCUAAUCCCAGAAAGCCGAUCGUAGUCCGGAUUGCAGGCUGCAACUCGCCUGCAUGAAGUCGGAAUCGCUAGUAAUCGCGGAUCAGCAUGUCGCGGUGAAUACGUUCCCGGGCCUUGUACACACCGCCCGUCACACCAUGGGAGUGGGUUUUACCAGAAGUAGGUAGUCUAACCGCAAGGGGGGCGCUUACCACGGUGUGGCCGAUGACUGGGGUGAAGUCGUAACAAGGUAACC